AUGAAUAUCGUCGAGAAGCUUAUCAUUCUCCGGGUUUGGCAGUGCCUCAUCUGCUGCCUCAUCGAACGCCUCGUCCCAAAUCUUCAUUUUCUCAGGCCCAAGCCGCUUCUCGAGUUUCUCGCCAUCAGCAUUGUCACCCAAGAAGAUCUUUUCCUGCUCGUUGACGUCAGCAGGCCGACGGCCACCGUCCCGGCCACCUCCGCGGCCCCCACGCCCCCCUCUCCCGCGUCCACCGCCAGUAUCGCCACGGCCAAGGAGCUCCAAAGCACGCUUCACAGCCUCCUGUGGCGCCAAUUUCGGCUGCCCGCUUGGAGCCGACGGGGCCGGAGCUUUCCUUGCCCCACGACUUCGAACGAAGCGGUUCUCCUCGGGGGCCCUGUCCACCGGUGGCUGCACACGCGGCACGCCGCGGCCGGCGCCGGAGGUAGGGAUCGAACGCGGCGGCUCGGAUGA
RNAcentral lists this ribosomal RNA (453 nucleotides) under Triticum aestivum (bread wheat). RNAcentral describes it as "partial small subunit ribosomal RNA". The record is from RNAcentral. Lineage: Eukaryota; Viridiplantae; Streptophyta; Magnoliopsida; Poales; Poaceae.